RNAcentral lists this ribosomal RNA (720 nucleotides) under uncultured bacterium. Its description in RNAcentral is "bacterial SSU rRNA". It matches the Rfam family "Bacterial small subunit ribosomal RNA", at positions 28 to 776 of the family's 1533-position model. The record is from RNAcentral.
GAUGAACGCUGGCGGCGUGCCUAACACAUGCAAGUCGAGCGAUCUUCUUCGGAAGAGAGCGGCGGACGGGUGAGUAACGCGUGGGUAACCUGCCCUGUACACACGGAUAACAUACCGAAAGGUAUGCUAAUACGGGAUGACAUAUGAAAGUCGCAUGGCUUUUAUAUCAAAGCUCCGGCGGUACAGGAUGGACCCGCGUCUGAUUAGCUAGUUGGUAAGGUAACGGCUUACCAAGGCGACGAUCAGUAGCCGACCUGAGAGGGUGAUCGGCCACACUGGAACUGAGACACGGUCCAGACUCCUACGGGAGGCAGCAGUGGGGAAUAUUGCACAAUGGGCGAAAGCCUGAUGCAGCAACGCCGCGUGAGCGAUGAAGGCCUUCGGGUCGUAAAGCUCUGUCCUCAAGGAAGAUAAUGACGGUACUUGAGGAGGAAGCCCCGGCUAACUACGUGCCAGCAGCCGCGGUAAUACGUAGGGGGCUAGCGUUAUCCGGAAUUACUGGGCGUAAAGGGUGCGUAGGCGGUCUUUCAAGCCAGAAGUGAAAGGCUACGGCUCAACCGUAGUAAGCUUUUGGAACUGUAGGACUUGAGUGCAGGAGAGGAGAGUAGAAUUCCUAGUGUAGCGGUGAAGUGCGUAGAUAUUAGGAGGAAUACCAGUAGCGAAGGCGGCUCUCUGGACUGUAACUGACGCUGAGGCACGAAAGCGUGGGGAGCAAACAGG